Ictalurus punctatus (channel catfish) is the source of this 370-nucleotide long non-coding RNA. RefSeq lists it as uncharacterized. The record is from RefSeq and is a predicted model, not a curated record. The transcript has 3 exons. NCBI's taxonomy places the organism in Eukaryota, Metazoa, Chordata, Actinopteri, Siluriformes, Ictaluridae.
GUUAUGUAGUUGCUGCAGUAGUUGUGUAUCACACUGGAUGUUCUGCUGUAAGUUUUUUAUUCUCCUGUUCAGAUUCUCCAAAUCAACAUCCAAACUGUCCACACUCACCCUAGAUGCAGAGGGGCAGAAAGGCACUGAGUGUUUUUGAGUACAUGCUCAGGGGCAUCAGCACAGUUCAUUACUGAUUGGUAAUGUGCUUCACACAACAUACAGACCAUCAGAGAAUCACUAAAAGGAAUUAAGAGCCACAUUGUAGCUCACAUGGAGAGGACGUGACCGUCUGAUGGACACAUGAAGCAACCAACCACAGUUUGUUAUGUGACGUAAAUGAUAAUACCGUAAUAAAUUAACACUGGAGUUUAUUCCCUGA